Molecule: unclassified non-coding RNA, 149 nt
Organism: Rhinopithecus bieti (black snub-nosed monkey)
Lineage: Eukaryota; Metazoa; Chordata; Mammalia; Primates; Cercopithecidae
Gene: 7SK
Rfam family: 7SK RNA
About the family: 7SK was discovered as an abundant small nuclear RNA in the mid-70s but a possible function has only recently been suggested. Two independent studies have found that 7SK RNA binds the CDK9/cyclin T complex (known as elongation factor P-TEFb).
Source: Ensembl
GGGCUCCCGAAACUUCACGCUUGGUUGAAGAGGACGACCAUCCCUGAUAGAGAACCGGUCUUCGGUCAAGGGUAUACGAGCAGCUGCACUCCCCUGCUAGAACCUCCAAACAAACUCUCAAGGUCCAAAGUGUGAGAGGGUGGCCGCGC